This 75-nucleotide transfer RNA is filed under the name Terriglobia bacterium. Its description in RNAcentral is "tRNA-Asn". It matches the Rfam family "tRNA". From Rfam's summary of the family: Transfer RNA (tRNA) molecules are approximately 80 nucleotides in length. Their secondary structure includes four short double-helical elements and three loops (D, anti-codon, and T loops). The record is from RNAcentral. Lineage: Bacteria; Pseudomonadati; Acidobacteriota; Terriglobia.
UGGCAGGUAGCACAACGGUCGUGCGGCUGGCUGUUACCCAGCACUAUGCAGGUUCGAAUCCUGCCCUGCCAGCCA